CAAGUCGAGCGCGAUAUUUUUGAAAGAUACUUCGGUUGAUUUCUUAAAUGGAAAGCGGCGAAAGGGAGAGUAACGAGUAGAUACGUACCCAGGGGUUCGGGAUAGCCAUGCGAAAGCGUGAGUAAUACCGAAUAAUGUCUCCGGACCAAAUAUUUAUAGCCCUUGGAGCGGUCUGCUUACUAUUAGCUUGUUGGUGGGGUAAAAAGCCUACCAAGGCGAAGAUGGUUAGCGGGUGUGAGAGCAUGGCCCGUCUCACUGGGACUGAGACACUGCCCAGACAUCUACGGAUGGCUGCAGUCGAGAAUCUUCCGCAAUGGACGAAAGUCUGACGGAGCGACGCCGCGUGAUGGACGAAGGCCCUCGGGUUGUAAACAUCUGUCGUAGGGGAGGAAAUUUUGACCGAUCCUAGGAGGAAGCACAGGCUAAGUUCGUGCCAGCAGCCGCGGUAAUACGAACUGUGCAAACGUUAUUCGGAAUCACUGGGCUUAAAGGGUGCGUAGGCGGGUUAGUAGGUCAGAUGUGAAAGCCCACGGCUCAACCGUGGAAUUGCGUUUGAAACCACUAGUCUUGAGGGGAUCAGAGGAGAGCGGAACUGAUGGUGGAGCGGUGAAAUGCGUUGAUAUUAUCAGGAACACCGGUGGCGAAGGCGGC
Molecule: ribosomal RNA, 651 nt
Filed under: uncultured bacterium
Lineage: Bacteria
Description: bacterial SSU rRNA
Rfam family: Bacterial small subunit ribosomal RNA
Source: RNAcentral